Molecule: ribosomal RNA, 204 nt
Filed under: Aspergillus flavus
Lineage: Eukaryota; Fungi; Ascomycota; Eurotiomycetes; Eurotiales; Aspergillaceae
Description: partial 28S ribosomal RNA
Source: RNAcentral
AAAUUGUUGAAAGGGAAGCGCUUGCGACCAGACUCGCCUCCAGGGUUCAGCCGGCAUUCGUGCCGGUGUACUUCCCUGGGGGCGGGCCAGCGUCGGUUUGGGCGGCCGGUCAAAGGCUCCCGGAAUGUAGUGCCCUCCGGGGCACCUUAUAGCCGGGAGUGCAAUGCGGCCAGCCUGACCGAGGAACGCGCUUCGGCACGGACG